ACUUGACGUUGGUUUACCAGCGAGUGGCGGACGGGUGAGUAACACGUAGGUAACCUGCCCCAAAGCGGGGGAUAACAUUUGGAAACAGAUGCUAAUACCGCAUAACAAUUUGAAUCGCAUGAUUCAAAUUUAAAAGAUGGCUUCGGCUAUCACUUUGGGAUGGACCUGCGGCGCAUUAGCUUGUUGGUAGGGUAACGGCCUACCAAGGCUGUGAUGCGUAGCCGAGUUGAGAGACUGAUCGGCCACAAUGGAACUGAGACACGGUCCAUACUCCUACGGGAGGCAGCAGUAGGGAAUCUUCCACAAUGGGCGCAAGCCUGAUGGAGCAACACCGCGUGAGUGAAGAAGGGUUUCGGCUCGUAAAGCUCUGUUGUUAGAGAAGAACGUGCGUGAGAGCAACUGUUCACGCAGUGACGGUAUCUAACCAGAAAGUCACGGCUAACUACGUGCCAGCAGCCGCGGUAAUACGUAGGUGGCAAGCGUUAUCCGGAUUUAUUGGGCGUAAAGCGAGCGCAGGCGGUUUGAUAAGUCUGAUGUGAAAGCCUUUGGCUUAACCAAAGAAGUGCAUCGGAAACUGUCAGACUUGAGUGCAGAAGAGGACAGUGGAACUCCAUGUGUAGCGGUGGAAUGCGUAGAUAUAUGGAAGAACACCAGUGGCGAAGGCGGCUGUCUGGUCUGCAACUGACGCUGAGGCUCGAAAGCAUGGGUAGCGAACAGGAUUAGAUACCCUGGUAGUCCAUGCCGUAAACGAUGAGUGCUAGGUGUUGGAGGGUUUCCGCCCUUCAGUGCCGCAGCUAACGCAUUAAGCACUCCGCCUGGGGAGUACGACCGCAAGGUUGAAACUCAAAGGAAUUGACGGGGGCCCGCACAAGCGGUGGAGCAUGUGG
RNAcentral lists this ribosomal RNA (887 nucleotides) under uncultured bacterium. RNAcentral describes it as "bacterial SSU rRNA". It matches the Rfam family "Bacterial small subunit ribosomal RNA", at positions 66 to 944 of the family's 1533-position model. The record is from RNAcentral.